This 251-nucleotide ribosomal RNA is filed under the name uncultured bacterium. Its description in RNAcentral is "partial 16S ribosomal RNA". It matches the Rfam family "Bacterial small subunit ribosomal RNA", at positions 524 to 774 of the family's 1533-position model. The record is from RNAcentral.
UACAUGGGGUGCAAACGUUGCUCGGAAUUAUUGGGCGUAAAGCGCACGUAGGCGGUUCGUUAAGUCGGAUGUGAAAGCCCUCGGCUCAACUGAGGAAGUGCACCCGAAACUGGCGAGCUUGAGUACGAAAGAGGAUCGCGGAAUUCCCGGUGUAGAGGUGAAAUUCGUAGAUAUCGGGAGGAACACCGGUGGCGAAGGCGGCGAUCUGGGUCGAUACUGACGCUGAGGUGCGAAAGCGUGGGGAGCAAACA